Non-coding RNA from Hydra vulgaris (swiftwater hydra), 868 nucleotides. The record is from RefSeq and is a predicted model, not a curated record. Lineage: Eukaryota; Metazoa; Cnidaria; Hydrozoa; Anthoathecata; Hydridae.
AUGACUGAGCAAAGUUUGACAUUUUUGAGAAAAUAAUAGAUUGAUUGAGAUGACCGAGCAAAGCUUGAUAUUUUUAAAAAAAUAAUAGCAGCUAUAAUAGUAAAUAAAAAAGAUUUAAUUUAAUUUAUCUUCUUUUUUAAAAAAAAUAUAUACCACCUUAAUACACAUCAGUAAGACGCAACAUUAACUAGAUACCACCUUAAUACACAUCAAAGAUAGUUGUUCCCCAACAUUAAUGAAUGGAAGUCAUUAAUGGAGAACAAAGGCUAAUUCUGUGUACUUGGCAUAAUCAAUCAUGCAUACUGAAAAGCAAAGUAACUAUAAUGGUUUAAAUAGAUGACACUAACACAAAACAACAAAAGAUGCAAAAAGCAAAAAAUAUUGAUAAUGACUCAAGAUACAAUAAUUGACUUGAUGAGUAUAGUUGAGGAAGAGAAAUUAAGUAAUGUUUCUUUCUGGGAGAUACCAGUUACACAUUAAAUAAAUACCAGUUAUACCAUCAAAAGAGAAAGUGCAAAAGAGAAAGACCUAACUACAAGAGUAGUUUUACAAUACGAUGCAAAGUGAAGAGAAAAAGCUGCUUUUUUUAUUAAUUUAUGCACUCAUUCAAUAGAUAUUAUUAAAUUGUUUUUGUUGUCGACUCUUUGACUUUGAUGUUAUAGAUAUGGCAUCAAAUUUUUUGUCUGGGUUUCAGACAUAGUGAAGCCCAUAUUAAGCUCAAAGUACAUACUUAUGAGUCAUCGGAAGAUUAUUUACGUUGCUUUGAAAAAUAAAAAACAUUGACAGGGGGUAUAUAAUUUAGGAUAGUUUGACACCGAAGGUAAAGUUUUAAUUGACAAUAUUUGUUGAAUAAAAAAAACUCUUUUGA